RNAcentral lists this ribosomal RNA (616 nucleotides) under uncultured bacterium. RNAcentral's name for it is "bacterial SSU rRNA". It matches the Rfam family "Bacterial small subunit ribosomal RNA", at positions 338 to 953 of the family's 1533-position model. The record is from RNAcentral.
CCUACGGGAGGCAGCAGUAAGGAAUAUUGGUCAAUGGAGGCAACUCUGAACCAGCCAUGCCGCGUGCAGGAAGACUGCCCUAUGGGUUGUAAACUGCUUUUAUCCGGGAAUAAACCUACUUACGUGUAAGUAGCUGAAUGUACCGGAAGAAUAAGGAUCGGCUAACUCCGCGCCAGCAGCCGCGGUAAUACGGAGGAUCCAAGCGUUAUCCGGAUUUAUUGGGUUUAAAGGGUGCGUAGGCGGCCUGUUAAGUCAGGGGUGAAAGACGGUAGCUCAACUAUCGCAGUGCCCUUGAUACUGAUGGGCUUGAAUGGACUAGAGGUAGGCGGAAUGAGACAAGUAGCGGUGAAAUGCAUAGAUAUGUCUCAGAACACCGAUUGCGAAGGCAGCUUACUAUGGUCUUAUUGACGCUGAGGCACGAAAGCGUGGGGAUCAAACAGGAUUAGAUACCCUGGUAGUCCACGCCCUAAACGAUGAACACUCGCUGUUGGCGAUACACAGUCAGCGGCUAAGCGAAAGCGUUAAAGUGUUCCACCUGGGGAGUACGCCCGCAAGGGUGAAACGUCAAAGAGUAGUACGGNGNGAGAGAGCGACGACGACGACGAGGAGGGAGGNG